RNAcentral lists this non-coding RNA (28 nucleotides) under Mus musculus (house mouse). The record is from RNAcentral. Lineage: Eukaryota; Metazoa; Chordata; Mammalia; Rodentia; Muridae.
UGGGUAGCCACUUUGACAGGCAUUACUG